GAACCCUUGGCGCAGUGGUAGCGCGUAUGAUUCCAGUUUACUGGAACGUCCAUAAGGUCGUCCGUUCGAUCCGGGCAGGGUUCA
Schizophyllum commune H4-8 is the source of this 84-nucleotide non-coding RNA. NCBI's taxonomy places the organism in Eukaryota, Fungi, Basidiomycota, Agaricomycetes, Agaricales, Schizophyllaceae. The record is from the annotation of a RefSeq genome assembly.